This 250-nucleotide ribosomal RNA is filed under the name uncultured bacterium. RNAcentral describes it as "partial 16S ribosomal RNA". It matches the Rfam family "Bacterial small subunit ribosomal RNA", at positions 524 to 773 of the family's 1533-position model. The record is from RNAcentral.
UACGGAGGGGGCUAGCGUUGUUCGGAAUUACUGGGCGUAAAGCGCACGCAGGCGGUCUUCCAAGUCAGAGGUGAAAUCCCCAGGCUCAACCUGGGAAUUGCCUUUGAGACUGUUAGACUAGAGGUCGGGAGAGGGUAGUGGAAUUCCCAGUGUAGAGGUGAAAUUCGUAGAUAUUGGGAAGAACACCAGUGGCGAAGGCGGCUACCUGGACCGAUACUGACGCUGAGGUGCGAAAGCGUGGGGAGCAAAC